UAGCCGUAAGUGAAUUUGAUCCUGGGCUACUAUAUGAUACCACAGGUGGGGGGACGCGUUGAGAAUAUGAGCGGCGGCACGGGUGAGUAACACGUGGGCAACCUGCCUGUAGAGACUGGGAUAACCCCGGGAAACCGGGGCUAAUACCGGAUAAUACUUUCUUUUGCAUAAAGGAAAGUUGAAAGGCGGCUUCGGCUGUCACUUACAGAUGGGCCCGCGGCGCAUUAGCUAGUUGGUGAGGUAACGGCUCACCAAGGCGACGAUGCGUAGCCGACCUGAGAGGGUGAUCGGCCACACUGGGACUGAGACACGGCCCAGACUCCUACGGGAGGCAGCAGUAGGGAAUCUUCCGCAAUGGACGAAAGUCUGACGGAGCAACGCCGCGUGAGUGAUGAAGGUUUUCGGAUCGUAAAACUCUGUUGUUAGGGAAGAACAAGUUGGGUAGUAACUGACCCAACCUUGACGGUACCUAACCAGAAAGCCACGGCUAACUACGUGCCAGCAGCCGCGGUAAUACGUAGGUGGCAAGCGUUGUCCGGAAUUAUUGGGCGUAAAGCGCUCGCAGGCGGUCCUUUAAGUCUGAUGUGAAAUCUCGCGGCUCACCGCGAACGGUCAUUGCAAACUGGAGGACUUGAGUA
This 638-nucleotide ribosomal RNA is filed under the name Oceanobacillus sp. RNAcentral's name for it is "bacterial SSU rRNA". It matches the Rfam family "Bacterial small subunit ribosomal RNA", at positions 64 to 648 of the family's 1533-position model. Lineage: Bacteria; Bacillati; Bacillota; Bacilli; Caryophanales; Bacillaceae. The record is from RNAcentral.